GGGGUCGUUUCUGGAUUAUUUGGUGCAAUUGAACUGUUACCCAUGGUUGUAUGAUGCUGCUGGAGACUCUAUUAGGACCAAUUUUGUGAUUCAAUGAUGUGGGGAUGAGGAAUUGAAGGAGGCAGAUCUGCUUCCGUUCGAUGCGCCUAUGCGUGGAUUGCUUGGUUCAAUUCAGCCUUGUUGGUUCGAAAUUGGCAGUGACCCAUACGUCCAUUGGAUGCGCCAUGAAGAGACGGUUCUAGCGGUGGUGGUCCGCCACCGUGGGUAGUGUUUCCGGCGCCAAAAAUUGGAGUUGAAUGGUCCGAGUUUGCUGUUCGUUUUUGGUUGUGUGGGUAGCUUCUUUGACUGGAAAUUUGAAGCAAAUCUGAUGGAGUUUCGGUCAUUGGUUGGGUGGGUUGGAACGAGAGAAGUGAGGGUUUCAAGGUAGUAUUUUAGUCUACAGCCAAGGUGGUCGGAGGUUGGAGUUGUGGUGGCUAGAAGUGGUGUGCUGUUCGUUUUUUGUUGUGUGGGCAGCUUCUUUGACUGGAUAUUUUCAGGCAGAUCUGAUGGAGUUUUGGCCAUUGGUUGGGUGGGUUGGAACGAAUGAAGUGAGGGCUUCAAGGUGGUAUGUUGGUCGACGGUCAAGGUGGUCGGAGGUUGGAGUUGUGGUGGCCAGAAGUAGUGGCUCAAAAUCCUCAAAAUUCACCUUCUUCCUGGAAAUUUCAAGCAGUUUAUGCGAGAAAAUUAGCUCGAUUUUGCUGGGAUUUGGGGCUGUUGUUUGUGUAGGGAUGUUAGGGGUUGAUGAGGAGAUGGUGGUGGCGCAAAAAUCCGGUGGCUGUGGUGGUCGGAAGUUGGCUUCCAUGGUUGGGCCGAAAUUUUGUGCUUGAGGUCCUCAAUAUUGUAUGGUCACGUGUUUUCGAUCCUUAAGUUUGAAUUAGAAUCAGAAAGGUCCCAAGCAAAUCUGAUGGAGUUUCGGUCAUUGGUUGGGUGGGUUGGAACGAGAGAAGUGAGGGUUUCAAGGUAGUAUGUUAGUCUACAGCCAAGGUGGUCGGAGGUUGGAGUUGUGGUGGCUAGAAGUGGUGUGCUGUUCGUUUUUUGUUGUGUGGGCAGCUUCUUUGACUGGAUAUUUGCAGGCAGAUCUGAUGGAGUUUUGGCCAUUGGUUGGGUGGGUUGGAACGAAUGAAGUGAGGGCUUCAAGGUGGUAUGUUGGUCGACGGUCAAGGUGGUCGGAGGUUGGAGUUGUGGUGGCCAGAAGUGGUGGCUCAAAAUCCUCAAAAUUCACCUUCUUCCUGGAAAUUUCAAGCAGUUUAUGCGAGAAAAUUAGCUCGAUUUUGCUGUGAUUUGGGGCUGUUGUUUGUGUAGGGAUGUUAGGGGUUGAUGAGGAGAUGGUGGUGGCGCAAAAAUCCGGUGGCUGUGGUGGUCGGAAGUUGGCUUCCAUGGUUGCGCCGAAAUUUUGUGCUUGAGGUCCUCAAUAUUGUAUGGUCACGUGUUUUCGAUCCUUAAGUUUGAAUUAGAAUCAGAAAGGUCCUGAUCGUGACCAUUUGUGCAAGUUUUUAAAUUUAAGUGACCAUUAGUGAAACCACCUGGAACUUAAGUGACCGUUUUUGAAAGUUUUAAACUUCAGUGAUCGUUUUGUAAUUUUUUGGUAACUUCAGUGACCGUUUGUGAAAUUAACCCGUUUAUAAACAGUUAAUAUACAUGAAUCAAACAGAUUUAACGUAUAUAUAUUUAUUUUAUCAUCUCUUUUAAGAUUUGUAGAAUCC
This 1742-nucleotide long non-coding RNA is filed under the name Olea europaea (common olive). RNAcentral describes it as "long non-coding RNA (OEUR_LNC002780)". Lineage: Eukaryota; Viridiplantae; Streptophyta; Magnoliopsida; Lamiales; Oleaceae. The record is from RNAcentral.